RNAcentral lists this ribosomal RNA (268 nucleotides) under uncultured bacterium. Its description in RNAcentral is "partial 16S ribosomal RNA". The record is from RNAcentral.
CUGCUGCCUCCCGUAGGAGUCUGGGCCGUGUCUCAGUCCCAGUGUGGGGGGCCUUCCUCUCAGAACCCCUACGCAUCGUCGCCACGGUGGGCCGUCACCCCGCCGUCUAGCUAAUGCGCCGCAUGCCCAUCCGCCACCGGAUCGCUCCUUUGGCCACCGGAGGAUGCCCUCCGGUGGCGUCACGGGGUAUUAGGCCGCGUUUCCGCGGGUUAUCCCCUGUGGCGGCCAGGUUGCAUACGUGUUACUCACCCGUGCGCCGGUCGCCGGG